ACGGGUCAUUGCUGCAGGCGCCGCGGCCACGCAGAGAUCCAGAGUCACUGUCAGGCCCCGUAGCCCUCCCUUCCCCAACGAAAUGAGGCUCGUUUGGGUUUUGUGUGAUGGUCGCUGUCGGGGUUAUGCUCCCGCUGGGGACCUCCCAGCCCGCCCAUCUCCCGGGUUGAUGUUGCCAGCUCUCCCAAAUGCCCAGCGAGGCAUGGGACGAGGCGGAGCUGCCCACUGGGUCGGAGGACAACGAGGAGGACCAGGGGAGCACUGUGUCCCUGCACAUGGAAGUCCUCUCAGGCAGCCCGGACAUCUCCCAUGCAUCAUUAGAGGCCGGGGAAGGAUCCACUGUGGGACCAAGCAGGAGUAGGGGACCCUCCAGCCCUGCGGCAGCAGCAGCACCCACAACCUUCC
Pelodiscus sinensis (Chinese soft-shelled turtle) is the source of this 405-nucleotide non-coding RNA. NCBI's taxonomy places the organism in Eukaryota, Metazoa, Chordata, Testudines, Trionychidae. The record is from RefSeq and is a predicted model, not a curated record.